CAUGUUUUUGCUUUUAUCAGCCUGGGAGCUAGGUCCCUGGAGACAAAAAUUUUAGAACAGUUAUGACUCUCUGGGAGUGUACUAAGGUUAGUCUGAAUCCUUCUGGGGAAUUCAGGUUUGAAGGAGUUAGAAGAGUGCUAACAUCACCAUCACUGUUACCUACCAAUGCCAUGCUCCCUGGGUGCAAGACCAAAGAUGUUCUUUGGUGUCUAGUCCCUUGUCUCAUGUCUAAUGUAACCUGCCAUUUUCCUUUACAGGUAGGAGCAACAGUGGGAAUACCCUCUGAGGAAUGCAGUAAUGUCCAUCAGUCACCUCUCACCCAGAGCCUGGCAAAUUCAGUCUCUUUCACAGAACCUAAAGCCAAGCCAGGUUCAAUGGGAAAUCCCACCUGUCCAAACACUGUGUGAGACACCAGAAUUAGAGGCCUGCAAGCCU
Molecule: small RNA, 435 nt
Filed under: Pongo abelii (Sumatran orangutan)
Lineage: Eukaryota; Metazoa; Chordata; Mammalia; Primates; Hominidae
Description: retained intron
Source: RNAcentral